UACGUAUGGGGCAAGCGUUGUUCGGAUUUAUUGGGCGUAAAGGGCACGCAGGCGGAUUGACAAGUUGGUUGUUUAACCUUCCGGCUCAACUUGAAGGCUGCUUCCAAAACUGUCAGUCUAGAAUACCAGAGGGGAAGGCGGAAUUCACGGUGUAGCGGUGGAAUGCGUAGAUAUAGAGAGGAACACCAGUGGCGAAGGCGGCCAUCUGGCUGGUUACUGACGCUCAGGUGCGAAAGCGUGGGGAGCAAACAGG
RNAcentral lists this ribosomal RNA (253 nucleotides) under uncultured bacterium. RNAcentral describes it as "partial 16S ribosomal RNA". It matches the Rfam family "Bacterial small subunit ribosomal RNA", at positions 524 to 776 of the family's 1533-position model. The record is from RNAcentral.